Molecule: ribosomal RNA, 301 nt
Filed under: uncultured bacterium
Lineage: Bacteria
Description: partial 16S ribosomal RNA
Rfam family: Bacterial small subunit ribosomal RNA
Source: RNAcentral
CAGCCGCCGCGGUAAGACAGAGGAUGCAAGCGUUAUCCGGAAUGAUUGGGCGUAAAGGGCUCGCAGGCGGUUUCUUAAGUCUGAUGUGAAAGCCCCCGGCUCAACCGGGGAGGGUCAUUGGAAACUGGGAAACUUGAGUGCAGAAGAGGAGAGUGGAAUUCCACGUGUAGCGGUGAAAUGCGUAGAGAUGUGGAGGAACACCAGUGGCGAAGGCGACUCUCUGGUCUGUAACUGACGCUGAGGAGCGAAAGCGUGGGGAGCGAACAGGAUUAGAUACCCCUGUAGUCCCUGUCUCUUAUAC